GAUGAACGCUAGCGACAGGCUUAACACAUGCAAGUCGAGGGGCAGCGGGGGCGUAGCAAUACGCCUGCCGGCGACCGGCGCACGGGUGAGUAACACGUAUGCAACCUGCCCGUCACAGGGGGAUAAGCGGAAGAAAUUCCGUCUAAUACCGCGUAGCACCUGCGGAGGGCAUCCUCUGCAGGUUAAAGCAUUUCGGUGACGGAUGGGCAUGCGGCGCAUUAGCUAGUUGGCGGGGUAACGGCCCACCAAGGCGACGAGGCGUAGGGGUUCUGAGAGGAAGGUCCCCCACACUGGUACUGAGACACGGACCAGACUCCUACGGGAGGCAGCAGAGAGGAAUAUUGGUCAAUGGGCGCGAGCCUGAACCAGCCAAGUCGCGUGAGGGAAGACGGCCCUACGGGUUGUAAACCUCUUUUGUCGGGGAGCAAAUGCGCCACGUGUGGCGCUGCGAGAGUACCCGAAGAAAAAGCAUCGGCUAACUCCGUGCCAGCCGCCGCCGUAA
Molecule: ribosomal RNA, 502 nt
Filed under: uncultured bacterium
Lineage: Bacteria
Description: partial 16S ribosomal RNA
Rfam family: Bacterial small subunit ribosomal RNA
Source: RNAcentral